AUGCCGGUGCCCGACGAGGAGGAGCGUCUCCUGCAAUGGGUGUACUAUCGCUCCCUUACCACAGCGGAGACGGAUGCCCGGCGGCUCCGGAGGAUCAAUGCCAAGCAGCUCCGGCUUGACAUUGAGCAAUCUGAGUGGGAGGCGGCGGCGACAGUGGUGAAGGCGACGAGGGUGGCCAAGCUCAAGCGCAAGCAAGACCGCAUCGUUCGGCGUUUGCAAGGCUACAUCAUCAUUUCCUCCUUUGACGGGUCCGACUCCGACGGCUCCGACGUCGACCCACCUCCUGCUCCUGUUGCUGAGGCCACAACAGCGCUGCCGAUCGGAAGGGCAAAGGGCCGACGAGGAAGUGGUGAAGCUCGCCCUCUCCUUUUAUAUUAUUCUAGUUCUAGUAUGUAG
RNAcentral lists this ribosomal RNA (396 nucleotides) under Triticum aestivum (bread wheat). Its description in RNAcentral is "partial small subunit ribosomal RNA". The record is from RNAcentral. Lineage: Eukaryota; Viridiplantae; Streptophyta; Magnoliopsida; Poales; Poaceae.